CCUUAACAGACUUCCAUGUUUUCUAAAAUAUAUUUGUUCCUUUGUCAGGCUAACCCUAGCAUCAAGUAUGAUGAAGGAAAAACAAAUUGUGUAUGAUGAAGGAGAGAAAUCCUUACAUACGGCAAGUAUAUAUAUAUAUAGGCUAUGAAUGGUAACAUAGACCGCACUCAAAACUGCAUCGUAACAGUGCUGUAACAAUAUCAAAAUCUCUACAUAUACAUAUGUAUUUAUGUAUUUUUGUUACUAUUUAAACCGCACCGAACUUCUUCCGCACCGCAAAACGUAGUCACCAUUCGGACCCAUAACUUUCAAGGGAUAGAUCUCGGGAUUAGCAGUAAUUUUGUGCUAGCUCCUACUAUUAGCAUUAGCAGAUAUAUAUAUAUAUAUAUAUUAAUA
RNAcentral lists this small RNA (396 nucleotides) under Arabidopsis thaliana (thale cress). RNAcentral's name for it is "ATSL209480". Lineage: Eukaryota; Viridiplantae; Streptophyta; Magnoliopsida; Brassicales; Brassicaceae. The record is from RNAcentral.